Molecule: unclassified non-coding RNA, 564 nt
Filed under: Cynops pyrrhogaster (Japanese firebelly newt)
Lineage: Eukaryota; Metazoa; Chordata; Amphibia; Caudata; Salamandridae
Description: 8S RNA
Source: RNAcentral
UAAAGAGAACCCAGUGUGGUCCAGUGGGUAAGUUCCUGACUUCCACCCAGACAACCAGGGUUCAAAUCCCGCGAUCAGCACCAGGUGAUGGAUGAUGGAGCAGCAGAGGUAAGUUGGAGGUCGGCCUGCCUGGUAAGAAAAAUGCGAGUGUGCUGUGUAAGAGUGGAGUCAUGAAUGGUGAUUGCAGAGUGGUUGGUAAGUGACAUGGGUCUGGUGAGAGCAAGGGGCGGGAUCAGUGACAGGUGUUAAGUGAGUUGGAGUGGUGGGUGGAGUCAGGGUGUAGGGGUAGGGAAGAGGAGCUUGGGACAGAGAGGAGGUGUGUCAGAGCAGAGAGUGGGGCUGGAUGUGGGCACAAGUGAGUUGGAGUUAGGGUGGGUGGAGUCAGGGGAUAGGUGUAGGGGAUGUGCAAGUGUGGGUGGGAUACCAGGCCAGGGACAAAGAAGGGGGUCAUAGAGGGAGGAGGAGCCUGGGACAGAGAAGAGGUUACAGAGCAGAGUGGGGCCAGAUGUGGGCACUCAUGCAGUGGUUCCCUAGCCCACAGUAGGGAUGAUUACAGAACCCCAA